Eptesicus fuscus (big brown bat) is the source of this 1214-nucleotide long non-coding RNA. RefSeq lists it as uncharacterized. The transcript is spliced from 4 exons. The record is from RefSeq and is a predicted model, not a curated record. Lineage: Eukaryota; Metazoa; Chordata; Mammalia; Chiroptera; Vespertilionidae.
GUGAGAGGACGCACGAAUCGGGCAGGAGUUGCCCCCCCACACCAACGGGCGCCCACCCGCCUGCCUAUCCCGCCCCCCGCCGCCCCUUCCUCUCCGCUCCCCAACUAGGGCUGCGAUGAGAGGGCGUAGGGGGCGGGCGGCGGCGGCGGUGGCGCGCGGAGGAGGAAAAGGAGAGCAAGGAUGGGACUAUCCCUGGAGAGAAGCCCGCUCCAGCUGCAGCCGCAAGUCCCCUCCUUCCUUCCCGCUCCGCAAACGUGGAGAUGGCGGCAGCAGCGGCGAAAGGAAGCGCUGGUUCUCCAGCGCCACUCGGCGUUCCUAACCGCCCGCCACUAGCAGGAGGAGACGACGGCGGCGGCGCGGCUGCCGCUGGGUCAAUAGGCGCCCGCUGCCCGAGAGCUGGAGCGACGGCCGGCCCCGCCCCUCACCGACGCGCCGGGAUGAGGAGGCGGGGCCACCAGCGCCCAAUCACAGCGCGCCUCCCGCCGGCCCCGCCCCGCGUCUGCCGCCCGGCGCCCAGGCGGUGGGGACACCUCAGGCAGCUCUCGUCCCCGGGAGGCAGCUCUGCUGGGGUUCCAGCCCUCGGAGGCUUUCAGGUGCCCGCCGCCCACCUUCCGCAGGGGCUGAAAUUCCUCCCCGGCCCCCUUUCGCUGUUCAGGCUUCCCGUCCUUGAGGACCCGGUCUUGGCGUGCCUGGGACGGGAACUCUGGAGCUGUAGGAAGAGAAGAGAAAUGAGUUUUAAAUUUUGUUCAGACUCAUCGUUUCUGCCGUUGCUUUUGGUGGGGCUUCCUGGUGAAACCUGAGGGAGAGCAGGCUGCCCAAGCACGCUCCAGGCAGGUGUGGACCUCUGGCCACAGAAUCUGUGAGGGGAACCUGGGAAGUGACGCCUAGGCCAGUUAGUUAUUGCCUUCCACUCCAAAUUCACCCUCUUUUGACUGUGCUGUGAAAAGGCAUCUGGGCCUUUUAAAGUGAAGGAGACAGCUGUCUAUGGCUUGAGAGUCCAAGAAAAGUGGAUGUGAGGAUGAUCCAGGAAGGCCUCAUUCACCAGCAUGCAUCUUAUGUAUUCUGCUUGCAUCUAUGAAACAGUAAUAGGCCCCAGACUAUUCACAGAUCCUGAAACUACUCACCUACCUAAGAGAAUCUUGACAUUGCCGUGCACAGGAUGAGUCAAGUAACAUAAGAAACUGCUAAGAAGAAAGGGAAGAUUUGGACCUGGA